ACAGGCUGUGGAUGCCCAGCUUUGGCAAGUGGUGGGGAAGGUUUUUGUUGAGAGUGGAAGCACUGUGCGACCAUGGGAACUGCUAGGACUAAACUUCUCUUUGGCCCUGGAACGAGACUCACUGUUAAGCCACAUGUUACUCCAUCUCCUUCAGUCUACAGACUGGUCUCUAAAGACAAUGAGGAUAUGGAAAUGUGCCUUAUCACAGAUUACUCCCCUGAAAGUCUUACUUUUAACUCGGCUGAUAAGCACACAGAUGCUGUUGUGGAAGUGGCAACGUCUGAGAGCAAACCAGAAGCGAGCUAUGUGUCAACCUACUGGGCCAAGAAGGAUGAAAUGCAAUGCAGCGCAAAUCAUGAGGGCUUUGGAGAACUGCAGGGCGAGGAUCCUGAAAGCGGUGCCAGCGCUGUCUGUGUCACAGGGAUGUCUCUGCACUUCAGGACAGAUGAAAACCUGAACACACUGUCCUUAUCACAGCUGGGCCUGAAAAUAAUUCUAGCAAAAGGAAUAUUUUUUAAUGUGAUGAUGACGAUGCUAGCGUGGAAAAAAAAGGAGGAAAACAACCAGAUGGUGCCACCCUGAAGUACCAGAACUGAUGAAUCUUUACCAGAGCAUCCUGUGCAAGAGGGAACAGAGGCAUUCCUGGUGCCAGGGCUGGCAUUUGCUGCUUCCGUAGAUCACACCAGCUAUUGUAGUCUAAAUUGCUUUAUUUCUAUUGUUAUAAAGUGAGUAAAAAUGAGCUUUAAAUCCCCAGCAUUCUGCUCCCCACAUGCCUGCUCUGCUUAACAUGGCUAUAGCUCUUCUUAAAGUACAGUUUUCUGAACUAUAAAUUGCUGAACAUGACUAUUCCAUGCGUUAAAAUGACACAAUCCUUGCCUGGGGCAGAGUUGUCACAAACUGCGAGCUUGGAUGUGAGUUUUCCAUAUUUGAUAUCUGUCAGAUGGGCACUCUAGGAAUGUCCCCCCACCUUCCCCAACACUGUUCCAGCCGCAAACAGAACGCACUGACCAGCAGAGGCAGCCUCACUCGGUGGCACACACCCUUCUGUCUCCUGCUAGGUCAGAGCAAGGUACCUUUUUUCCCUCUGAGGAUUUGCUGCUCCAUCUCCUGGAAGUCCUGAAUUCACUGAAAUUAUCACUUCAUUAUCACAGAAGAAAAUAAUGUCUCUUGCUAUGUUUUAGAGAAACGACUUUUGCUCUUUUUGUUCAGUUCUAACACCAACUUUAGAUUUUCCAAUUUCUUUUUAGAACCUUUGUAUAAAACUAAGUUGAAAUAUGAGUGCGCACCCUGGAAACAGGGCAGGGAUGUGAGAUUCGUAAGCUGCUGAUUCAUGAACUGUACCCGCAACCGCCCUGAUGGCUUUGUUCUUCUUGAGACCUCUGGCUGCUAUUAAACAAUUCAUA
Molecule: non-coding RNA, 1403 nt
Organism: Cuculus canorus (common cuckoo)
Lineage: Eukaryota; Metazoa; Chordata; Aves; Cuculiformes; Cuculidae
Source: the annotation of a RefSeq genome assembly